UUUUAGUGGCGGACGGGUGAGUAACGCGUGGGUAACCUGCCUCACACUGGGGGAUAACACUUAGAAAUAGGUGCUAAUACCGCAUAAGCGCACGGGACUGCAUGGUCUUGUGUGAAAAACUCCGGUGGUGUGAGAUGGACCCCGCGUCUGAUUAGCUGGUUGGCGGGGUAACGGCCCACCAAGGGCGACGAUCAGUAGCCGGCCUGAGAGGGGUGGACGGCCACAUUGGGACUGAGACACGGCCCAAACUCCUACGGAAGGCAGCAG
This 267-nucleotide ribosomal RNA is filed under the name uncultured bacterium. RNAcentral's name for it is "partial 16S ribosomal RNA". It matches the Rfam family "Bacterial small subunit ribosomal RNA", at positions 90 to 354 of the family's 1533-position model. The record is from RNAcentral.